Molecule: ribosomal RNA, 369 nt
Filed under: uncultured Glomeromycotina
Lineage: Eukaryota; Fungi; Glomeromycota
Description: LSU rRNA
Source: RNAcentral
UUGAAAGGGAAACGAUUGAAGUCAGUCGUACCGACGGAGGAUCAACCUUUGAAAGCGGGUCGAGGUAUUCGAGGAGUUUAAAAGCCCUCUUGCGCUCACGUACUUCGUUUUCUUUGGUGCACUUCUUCGUAUGGUAGGUUAACAUCAAUUUUGGACGUUACAAAAUGAUCGGGGGAAUGUAGCUUCGAUUUUUUCGAAGUGUUAUAGACCUUGGUAGAUGUGACGACCGGGAUUGAGGAUUGCAACGAAUGCUUUCGGGCUAUCCGUCUGACCUCUGGUGGUUGCUUUAGGGUCGAAAGCGUGCUUACACUUUAAAGUUGGCUAUCAAAAGGCUAGAACGUGAUUAAAUUCGUUAAGGAUGUUGACGUA